GUCAUCAUCGUCCUCAGCUGCUGAACUGGGACGGUCUGCAGGACCAGAAAAAGGUUUUUACACAUCAGGCUCAGCACUGGAGCACAGUCCUGUUGAAUUGUGAUAUGAAAUGCUCUCCAAGACUGAAUAAAAAGCCUUUCUUAUUGUGUCAUGUGUUUUGGCCAUGUUCUGGCCUUGUUUCACUAACAAACGUCUGUGCCGUUGGCAAUAUACUAACUGUUCAAGGGGCUAUGAAUUGAUUCCCCGACCACCAUGAACUGAUAUCAACCACAAUCAGGGUAAGUAUUCUUUUUUUUAUUGUUGAGUUUUGAAUAUUUCUGUCUACUAACUCAUGAUGAUGCAUGUGCAUGUAAGUUACCUUUUCACAGUUUGAAAUGAUUAACAUUCCUUUGGUAGGCAUAAAGACUACCAUAAAGAUAAGCGGUUGAAGUAAGUAUGGGGUAUUUUGAAUCUUUUAUAUUAUUACACACAAAUGACUGACAAGAUUUUGCAGUGCCUUCUUCUGCCCUCUCUAGAACACCUACUGACAUCAAGCAACUGCCACAGGUCAAAGACAUCAGCACCACAGACAGCUCUCCAGACAGCAGGACACCAAAGAUGAAAAUCUCUCACCUUCAGAUAACACUUCAUAUAGUGUUCUACAUACAGCUGAGGCAUCACGUGACUCAUUAACCUCUGCCCUUGGCUCUUCAGUGUGCAGCCCUCCUGGGAACUUGUACUGCCAAUAUCCACCAUACGCAUUUAUGUAUAUACAUAUAUAUUUGCACAUACAUAUUAUAUAGUUUAUACUUUUUAUUUAUCUACCUCUUUUCGGUUUUAUUUUUAUCCUUAAUUCCAUUCCUUUCUAUGCUUGAAUACCGGACAGACGUAAAAAGCAUUUCACUGCAUGUCGUACUCUGUAUGUAUGUGUAUGUGACAAAUAAAAUUUAAUUUGAUUUGAAAUUGCUGGGAAAUAGAUUUACUGUCCUUCAAAAGUCUUUUCCAUUUACCAGCAUCAGGAGAUGGAAAAAGAAAUGACCUGGAAGGAGUUUCAGUAGUCUGCAUUUUAUGAGAUGGAAAGAGAUGGGUGGCAGAAAGGAGAAAUCAAAAAUAAAUGUUGUAAAUGUCCUUUC
Long non-coding RNA from Tachysurus vachellii, 1112 nucleotides. RefSeq lists it as uncharacterized. NCBI's taxonomy places the organism in Eukaryota, Metazoa, Chordata, Actinopteri, Siluriformes, Bagridae. The record is from RefSeq and is a predicted model, not a curated record. The transcript is spliced from 4 exons.